CCAGAUCUUUGAGGCUGUGGAAUGAGCGUUGGGCACAUGGCCUGAGUAAGAUUCCAGAAACUUGGUUCACUGCCUUAGAACAGCCCUGUGGUCAGG
This 96-nucleotide small nucleolar RNA is filed under the name Neogale vison (American mink). Its description in RNAcentral is "Neovison vison (American mink) Small nucleolar RNA U83B (ENSNVIG00000001388.1)". The stretch from base 1 to 84 matches the Rfam family "Small nucleolar RNA U83B". Rfam says of the family: U83B belongs to the C/D family of snoRNAs. U83B like U83A has no documented RNA target and they share the same host gene with the C/D box snoRNA U43 (RPL3). The record is from RNAcentral. Lineage: Eukaryota; Metazoa; Chordata; Mammalia; Carnivora; Mustelidae.